This 484-nucleotide ribosomal RNA is filed under the name uncultured bacterium. Its description in RNAcentral is "partial 16S ribosomal RNA". It matches the Rfam family "Bacterial small subunit ribosomal RNA", at positions 29 to 507 of the family's 1533-position model. The record is from RNAcentral.
AAUGAACGCUGGCGGCAGGCCUAACACAUGCAAGUCGAGCGGAUGAAGGGUGCUUGCUCCUGGAUGCAGGGGCGGACGGGUGAGGGAUGCCUGGGAAUCUGCCUGGUAGAGGGGGAUAACGUCCGGAAACGGGCGCGAAUACCGCAUACGGCCAGAGGGGGAAAGAGGGGGAUCGGCGGACCUCACGCCAUCAGAUGAGCGUAGGUCGGAAUAGCGAGUUGGUGGGGUAAAGGCGUAACAAGGCGACGAUCCGUAACUGGUCUGAUAGGAUGAUCAGACACACGGGAACUGAGACACGUUCCAGACUCCGACGGGAGGCAGCAGUGGGGAAUAUUGGACGAUGGGCGAAAGCCUGAUCCAGCCAUGCCGCGUGUGUGAAGAAGGUCUUCGGAUUGUAAAGCGCUUUAGGUUGGAAGGAAGUGCAGUACUUUAAUACCUUGCUGUUUUGACGGUACCCACAGAAUAAGCACCGGCUAACUUCGUG